This 336-nucleotide long non-coding RNA is filed under the name Setaria viridis. Its description in RNAcentral is "long non-coding RNA (SVIR_LNC006714)". The record is from RNAcentral. Lineage: Eukaryota; Viridiplantae; Streptophyta; Magnoliopsida; Poales; Poaceae.
CUAUUGCGGCUACUUCCCCUCUUCAUGACUGCAAUUGCGGCUCACAACACUCAAGUAGCUAUAAGGGGGAGGUAGAGAUAUCCCAAAACAAUGGAGAGUCAUCGUGACAUAGGGUUGUCCAUGACCAAGGACGCGGCUAUACGUAUAGUUUUAACUUUGCAGAGUGUGUACACCUGGACCCAUCAUGGAGUGAGACAGCCGGGGAUCAGCCAACUGAACAUCACCCUACCGGGCGAAGAACUGUGAGUUACGAUACUGCUGACGCAAAUAUUAAGAGACGACCUUCGUGCAGUAACACACGAAACCCAGGAGAAUCUGCUUCGCUCCUAUUUAGGU